GAGGAUGCUUGCUUAGGAAAAAAAGUUGAACCAAUACAGAGACGAUUAGCAUGGCCCUUGCACCAGGGUGACAUGCAAAUUUAUGAAGCAUUCCAUAUUUUA
Molecule: small nuclear RNA, 102 nt
Organism: Gorilla gorilla gorilla (western lowland gorilla)
Lineage: Eukaryota; Metazoa; Chordata; Mammalia; Primates; Hominidae
Source: Ensembl